This 498-nucleotide ribosomal RNA is filed under the name uncultured bacterium. RNAcentral's name for it is "partial 16S ribosomal RNA". The record is from RNAcentral.
GUAGUUAGCCGGGGCUUCCUCCUUGGCUACCGUCACUUUCUUCGUCACCAAGGACAGAGGUUUACAACCCGAAGGCCUUCUUCCCUCACGCGGCGUUGCUGGGUCAGGCUUGCGCCCAUUGCCCAAUAUUCCCCACUGCUGCCUCCCGUAGGAGUCUGGACCGUGUCUCAGUUCCAGUGUGGCCGAUCAGCCUCUCAGCUCGGCUACCCAUCGCAGGCUUGGUGGGCUGUUAUCUCACCAACUACCUAAUGGGACGCGAACCCCUCCUUCAGCGGAUUGCUCCUUUGACCUCAUCCCGAUGCCGGGUCGUGGUCUUAUGCGGUAUUAGCACUUGUUUCCAGGUGUUAUCCCCCUCUGAAGGUCAGGUUGUUCACGCGUUACUCACCCGUUCGCCACUAAAAUUUAUCUUCCAUCCGAAAACUUCCGAUAAAUCUCCGUUCGACUUGCAUGUGUUAGGCACGCCGCCAGCGUCGUCCUGAGCCAUAAUCAAACUACUGA